This 432-nucleotide ribosomal RNA is filed under the name uncultured bacterium. Its description in RNAcentral is "bacterial SSU rRNA". It matches the Rfam family "Bacterial small subunit ribosomal RNA", at positions 335 to 755 of the family's 1533-position model. The record is from RNAcentral.
ACUCCUACGGGAGGCAGCAGUAGGGAAUCUUCCACAAUGGGCGCAGGCCUGAUGGAGCAACACCGCGUGAGUGAAGAAGGGUUUCGGCUCGUAAAGCUCUGUUGUUAAAGAAGAACACGUAUGAGAGUAACUGUUCAUACGUUGACGGUAUUUAACCAGAAAGUCACGGCUAACUACGUGCCAGCAGCCGCGGUAAUACGUAGGUGGCAAGCGUUAUCCGGAUUUAUUGGGCGUAAAGAGAGUGCAGGCGGUUUUCUAAGUCUGAUGUGAAAGCCUUCGGCUUAACCGGAGAAGUGCAUCGGAAACUGGAUAAACUUGAGUGCAGAAGAGGGUAGUGGAACUCCAUGUGUAGCGGUGGAAUGCGUAGAUAUAUGGAAGAAACACCAAGUGGCGAAGGCGGCUACCUGGUCUGCAAACUGACGCUGAGACUCG